Long non-coding RNA from Diceros bicornis minor, 2701 nucleotides. RefSeq lists it as uncharacterized. The record is from RefSeq and is a predicted model, not a curated record. The transcript has 4 exons. NCBI's taxonomy places the organism in Eukaryota, Metazoa, Chordata, Mammalia, Perissodactyla, Rhinocerotidae.
CACAACAAUGUAUUAGAUUUAAUAAGUAUAAACAAUGUCUUUAUUUAGAACAUAUAUUGUUGCUGACCUGCUACCUAACAGGACAAAAUCAAUAAGAGGAAACAAAAAACAAACAAAGUCAUUUUAGACCAUCUAAUUGUAAGAAGAAAAUAAAACUAGGUGAUGUGAUAGAGAGAUAAUAGGGAAAGAGAAAAUCUACUUCAAGACCUGGGUAGAACGGACUUAAGUGACAAACUGUUUUUAUUCUUUCCUCAGAAAACCUUGGAAUCUGCCUGUCCUUCUGGGUUGUCUCUCUCCAGUGGUUGGGAAAAGAGCUAGAAAAAUAAUGAGGUGUUAUCAGUCACCAGCAUCAAGAGUAAUUUCCUCUUGACACUCCUCUGAGAUUUGCUAUAAUAUUGGUGCCUAAGAGUUUGGGAAAAUUUACCAGUGAAACCAUCUGGACCUGGAAUUUCUUUGUUAAGCUGAUUGGAUCCUCAGUGAGGAGAUUAUAUGAAUCAAGAACACUGGAACUUCUUCAAUAGACUCCCGGACUCCCACCUGGGUACCCUUGUGCAUGGGUGACUGCCAAAUCAGAUGUUCUGUGAGGGCAGACAGAGAGAACUCCUAUUCUGACAUUGUACUGACAUCGCUCCACCAAUUUGACAGCAUAUCCUUCUUUCAGUUCCUGAUAAAAGAGAAAGUAGGAUGUAAAUUUUUAAUCUUCAGAUAGAUUGAAAUCAUAUUACAUAUCUUUUACAACCACAAUGGUAUAAAACUAGAAAUGAUUAACAAGAGGAAAGCUGGAAUAUUCACAAAUAUGUGGAAAUAAAACAACCCACUCUUGAAAAAACAAUGGGUUAAAGAAGAAAUCAAAAGAGAAAUAUAAAAAUAUCUUGAGAUGAACAAAAAUGGAAACACAAUUGAAGAAAAUUUAUGGGAUGCAGCAAAAGCAAUUCUAAGAUGGAAGCUUAUAGAGAUAAAUGCUUACAUUUAAGUGCUUACUCUUAAAACUAGUAAACAAAUUCAGUGAAGUUGCAGGAUAUACAAUCAACAUACAAAAAUCAGUUGCACUUCUAUAAACUAACAAUGAACUAUCUGAAAAAGAAAUUAAGAAAAGUAUAAUUUACAAUAGCAUCAAAACCAAAAAUACUUAGGAAUAAAUUUAACCAAGUUGAUGAAAGAUGUGUACACUGAAACUAUAGGACAUCGAUGAAAGAAAUUGAAGAAGACACAAAUAAAUGCAAAGAUAUUUCCUUUCAUAUAUUAGAAAAAUGAACAUAGAUAAAAUAUUCAUACUACCCAAAAUGAUCUACGGAUUCAAUGUAAUCUCUAUCAAAAUUCCAAUGGCCUUUUUCAUAGGAAUAGAAAAAAAAUCUUAAAAUUCAUCUAGAACCACAAAAGAUCUCAAAUAGCCAAAACAAACUUAAGAAAGAAGAACAAAGCUGAAGGAUCACACUUCCUAAUUUCAAACUAUAUUAUAAAGCUAUAGUAAUCGAAACAGUAUGAUACUGGCAUAAAAACAAACAUGUAGACCAAUGGAUCAAAUUAGAGAGCCCAGAAAUAAAUCCAUACAUUUACAGUCAACUGAUCUUCAACUAGGAUGCCAAGAACACACAAUGGGGAAAGGAUAGUCUCUUCAAUAAGUCAUGUUAAAAAAAUUAGAUAUUCACAUGCAAAAGAAUUAAAACUGGACUCCUGUCUUAUACUACUGACAAAAAUUAACUUGAAGUGGAUUAAAGACUUAAAUGUAAAAACUGAAACUGUAAAACUCCUAGAUUUUUUGAAUAUGACACCAAAAGCACAGGCAAAAAAACAAAAAUUAACAAGUGGGACUACUUCAAACUACAAAGCUUCUGCAUCAGCAAAGGAAACAAUCAACAAAAUGAAAAGGCAAUCUAUGGAAUGAGAGGAAAUAUUUGCAAAUCAUAUAUCUGAUAAGAGGUUAAUAUCUAAAAUAUAUAAGGAACUCAUACAACUCAAUAGCAAUAAUCGAAUAUUGUUAUUAAAAAACAGGCAAAGGAACUGCAUAGACAUUUUUCCAGAGCAGACUUAAAAAUGACCAAUAGGUAUAUUUAAAGGUGUUUAACAUCACUAAUCACCAGGGAAGUGCAAAUCAAAACCACAAUAAGAUAUCACCUCAUACAUGUUAGGAUGGCUAGCAUCAAAAAGACAAGAGAUAACAUAUGCUGGCAAGGAUGUGGAGAAAAGGGAAUCCUUUUGGAUCGGUGGAAAUUGGAUUCCACUAUUGGUGGAAAUGUAAAUUUGUAUACCCACUAUGGAAAAGACUAUGGAGUUUCCUCAAAACAAUUAAAAAUAUAGCUACCUAUUGUUAAUUGGCAGCAAUUGGUAGCAAUUUUUAAUUUCUGGCAUGAUCCAGCAAUCCUACUUCUGAGUAUGUAUCCAAAGGAAAUGAUACAGUACCUCAAAGAGAUAUCUGUACUCCCAUGUUCACUGCAGCAUCAUUCACAAUAGCCAAGAUAUGGAAACAACCUAUGUGUCCAUCAAUGGAUGAAUGGAUAAAGAAAAAAAAAAUAUAUAUAUAUAACAAUAUUAUUUAGUCAUAAAAAAGAAGGAUAUCCUGACAUUCGCAGCAACAUGCAUGAACCAGGAGGGAAUUGUGCUAAGUGAAAUAUGCUAGACAGAGAAAGACAAAUACUGUAUGGUAUCACUUAUACGUGAAAUUAAAGGAAAAAGGUUGAACUCACAGAAACAGAAAGUAGAA